This 422-nucleotide ribosomal RNA is filed under the name uncultured bacterium. RNAcentral's name for it is "bacterial SSU rRNA". It matches the Rfam family "Bacterial small subunit ribosomal RNA", at positions 355 to 774 of the family's 1533-position model. The record is from RNAcentral.
UGAGGAAUAUUGGGCAAUGCCCGCAAGGGUGACCCAGCAACGCCGCGUGGAGGAUGAAUGUCGUAAGAUUGUAAACUCCUGUUAGAGGGGAAGAAUAGUCCCGGUUGGACCGGUAUAUGACUGUACCCUCAGAGAAAGCCCCGGCUAACUACGUGCCAGCAGCCGCGGUAAUACGUAGGGGGCAAGCGUUGUCCGGAUUUACUGGGUGUAAAGGGCGCGCAGGCGGGAUAAAAAGUCAGUGGUGAAAUCCUACAGCUUAACUGUAGAACUGCCUUUGAUACUUUUAUUCUUGAGUUCGGGAGAGAGAGACGGAAUUCCAGGUGUAGUGGUGAAAUACGUAGAUAUCUGGAAGAACACCAGUUGCGAAGGCGGUCUCUUGGUCCGACACUGACGCUGAGGCGCGAAAGCGUGGGGAGCAUACA